Molecule: long non-coding RNA, 965 nt
Organism: Lonchura striata (white-rumped munia)
Lineage: Eukaryota; Metazoa; Chordata; Aves; Passeriformes; Estrildidae
Source: RefSeq, a predicted model, not a curated record
AGAUGGGCUCAGGUGUGGAACCUCAGCAGAGCAGCCAAGCCCUGAGCACGGUCAGGGCCCUGCUCGGCCCGUCGCCAUUUCACGAGCGAGCUGUGGGGAAGCAGGAAGCCCAGGUACAAGACAAAGAACAAAAGUCCCAGGGGAACGUCACCAGCGUAGUCAUCUCCACACAUGCAAAGGUCCCUUCUGCCUUUUUUUUUUUUCCCCUUUGAAAUUUCAAAUUCCAGUUUGUGGACAAAGUCCUGCCUAUCUGAGAAUAUAGAUCUCCGACCACUGACCAAACUCCACUUCAAGCAGUCCCGAGGACUGCUCUUCCCCCUGCCCACGGACGUGUCUGCUCAGUCCUUGGAUCUCCCAGGAUCAUGCUGAAAAUUUUGCACUGGAGCACAGCACUGGUACUUUCACAAAGCGGAUUUUGUACUUAAUGUCAGCAGCUUCUUUCUGGGAAGAACCUCGGGAAUAACCAGGAGUGUGCAGAGUGCCUGAGUAACCUGUCAUGUCCCCAAUGUCCUCAAUCACCAGAGCACAGCAAGGAGUGAGUGAGAACCAGACAACACUCAGGAGCUCCACGUCCACAGCAGCUGCACGCUCCCCACACACCCUCCUGUGUGACACAACCCUCCUGUCCACUGCCAGAGAAACAAAAACACAGCAGAAAGCAAGGUAUGGGAACAUGGGAACACAGGAAGGGCAGGGGAUCACACGUUCCUACAGUUCCAGAAAACCACAGCCAGGACACUGCAGGGACAACUGCCUGGCUCCCAGCUAACAAACAUGGGAACUGCUGAUCAGCUGGGACUAUUCAGCCUAGGUAACGUUUGACUAUUGUUUGUCCCUUUACAUUCCUGCAAGUCCUGGUGCCAUUGGCUUCUUGUAUCAUAAAGAAAUUAAAAUAUAUUAUGACCGUAAACAACAUCAUUUGAGGAAAUGAACCACUUCUAGUAAACGUAUCAUGGAACGCUGAA